RNAcentral lists this ribosomal RNA (369 nucleotides) under uncultured bacterium. RNAcentral describes it as "bacterial SSU rRNA". It matches the Rfam family "Bacterial small subunit ribosomal RNA", at positions 28 to 410 of the family's 1533-position model. The record is from RNAcentral.
GACGAACGCUGGCGGCGCGCCUAAUACAUGCAAGUCGAACGGGCAUACUUCGGUAUGUCAGUGGCGGACGGGUGAGUAACACGUGGGUGAUUUGCCUUUUGGUGGGGAAUAACUCUGGGAAACCAGAGCUAAUACCGCAUGAGCUUAGCCCUUCGUUGGGUUAAGUAAAGAUAUAUUGCCAGAAGAGAAGCCUGCGGCGGAUUAGCUGGUCGGUGGGUAAUGGCUUACCGAGGCGACGAUCCGUAGCUGGUCUGAGAGGACGACCAGCCACACUGGGACUGGAGACACGGCCCAGACCUCUACGGGAGGCAGCAGUAGGAAUAUCCACAAUGGACGCAAGUCUGAUGGAGCGACGCCGCGUGAGCGAAG